Cebus imitator (Panamanian white-faced capuchin) is the source of this 3215-nucleotide long non-coding RNA. RefSeq lists it as uncharacterized. The record is from RefSeq and is a predicted model, not a curated record. The transcript is spliced from 3 exons. Lineage: Eukaryota; Metazoa; Chordata; Mammalia; Primates; Cebidae.
AGUAAUGAAACUCAUGUCUUUAACAAAAAUGAUACUAUUUCGGCUUUCUCUAUCAGUCCCAAUGAUGAGGUUUUAACUUCAUUUUAAUGCUUAGAAGUGCAAAAUAGUGGUAGAUGAGAGAGAGGGUGUGGGUUAUAUAGGCAGGCUGGCUUGUGAUUUACAAUUAUUUUAUACAGACUGGCCACAAAUGAUCAAUUAGCAUGCAUGAAUUAAAACGGUCUAUUCAUACAAUGAGAUACUCCUCGGCAAUAAAAAGGAAUUACUGAUCUAUACAACCAUGUGGAUGCAUCUCAAAAACUUGUUGAGCAAAAGAAGCCAGACACAAAGGAAUACACUCUGUAUGACUCCAUUCACAAGUUCUUAAACGGGCAAACUCACCUACAAUGAAACAAUCUGAAUAGUGCUUGUCUCGGUGGGUGUGAGAGGAGAAGACUGAAGCAUGAGGGGACCUUUUAGGUAGGUAGAAAUGCUAUAUUGAUUUGGGUGUUGAUGACAGGACCUACAGGUUUGUCAAAACGACUAGAAUGGUGCACUUCAGAUUUGUGCAUUUAGCCACAUGUAAAUUAUAACACAAUGAAAACAAUUAAAAAACAUUUCCUGGCCUUUGGUUGAGCUAGCUUUCUUCAGAACUGGCUGACUGCCUGCUGGUCUGCUAUCUGAGAUAACUAACAGCAUAGGUAUAUCUAGCAUAGAGCCGUAACAGCAGAUUGUAUAACAUGCAAAUUGCUUUAAGCCGAAGAGCUAAACAUUUAGGGUUGUCCACAUGUGAUGUUAUUAAUCAUUUAUUAUGUAAUACUUGCUCUGAAAUACAGAUGACACAAGCAAAUUCCAUCAAUAUUCUUUUGAAUUUUUUAUUUAUCCAGAGUGUUUUUAAUAGGAGAAGUGUGGACCAUAUUAAUCCAUGCUUCACUUAAAUUGAUUCUUCAAAUGACUUACUCUUUUCUAAGCUGCUCCCUAGGAACCCCUUUUGUUAUAAAAAAGUAAAUUAACACAAUAAAAUCGUUUAACUCUGGCCCUGUAAUAUGCCACACAUAAUAACUCACAUACACCUAUAAAUAUCUUUCCACGAUGCUAUUGGAGAGUAUUUCUGUACAAUUGGCGUGUACCUGAUUGGAAUAUUAUGGAGCUCUGAUUAGGCUUCCUCCUGCCCCUUUUAUUCCUACAACAUCUACACUAUAAGAGUGACUGCAUCUUAGAGUAGCCGACGUCUCCUGGAAAACUGAACUGAAGUAGUUGUGUUGAAGGCUGAAGUAAUUCUGAAAGACAUAUAGCGUACAUUUUCAUCCUAAUAUUCCUUCUAUUCUGAUUGAGAAUAAGGAUCAUGAUUAUUUUCAUUAUUCAUCUGCUCCUCUUGUUUAUCUCUUUCCUGAAGUCUUAAUCCUCUCCUUGAAACAUCCCAGUCGGUUGCUAUGGAAAUUAUUAUUUUGCCACAAACAGAGAAUGAUGACCUACAGUAAAGAAUAAGCAGCAGAAGCCAAUGAACUCUUGGAAAAUAGCCUUGCUAACACCGAAAGAAGACUGACACUAUUAAAACUUUUCUUAACAGAGUGACCCACGUAGCAAGGACUGGAAGAGAACACUAUUCAUUCCUGCUUUAAGUGGCCACUAAACAUGCAGAAGGUUUCCUCUGAACCGAGAGUUGAAGGAUAUGGUGCAACAAGCCCUUUUCCUGGCACUGGAAAGUGAGGCCAGAGCUGCAGAAGAGGCAAUGGUGAAGGAAGUGCUGUGGGGCCAUGCUUGGCCCCCUCACGUGGGCCUUCAGCUGGCGCUCUUGAUUCCAGGUCCCAGCCCUUUCUACCAUGAAGGUAAGCCGUAAAGUCUGUUGCCAGGGAUUGGGGAGGUUAGUAUUAAAGAAGAUUCUGGAGUACAGAAGCAGGAAGAUAUGCUGUGGAGAUGCUGUUGGCAGAAACAGCUGGCCUUGACGGAGCAAACCAACAGGAGCAGAGGCCACCGAGUGGAGGCUGACGCCCAUGCACAGGUUUGGGCAGCUCUUCCCCACACAUCCACGUGGCUCACUUCCUCUCUUCCAUCAGGGUUCUGCUCACAUGUCACCUCCUCUAGGAGGCCUUCCUUGACUACCCUGUCCCCACUCCCACCCCCUACCCCUGCAUUCCCUGUCCCCCUUACUCUAACUGUGGUUUAUCUUACCUGACAUAGAACAGGUUUAUCUCCCUGUUGUCUAGCAGGCUUUUAAUCUAGUUCUGCUUUGCUGGACUGUAUUAAAUGAGACCCAGUUCCUGGGGUUUAUCACUCUGAACGGAUGGACCACAUAAAAAUGGGAUUUUCGUGUUCCCACUACAGCACUUUCUGGUGGAGACCACAUCUCCCCAUGUGCAAUGUUCUACUCCCAUCUCACUCUUACCUCCUGCUGAGCUGUUUUCUCAGAGCAUGAGUCUGAACAGAACAUCUAUUGCUUUGUGCCCUGCUGGAGGACAAGCUUCACAAAAGCAGUCUAUGUUGUUGCUGUUGUUGUUUAUUGCUGUCUUCCUAGCUUCUAGAAUAGCUUCUGGCAUGGCACACAGUGUCAUGAGUAAAUUUGUGAGUAUAUAUAAUGGACAAGGUUGGGAGAAGAAAGUUAGUUUGGAAAUGGGAGAGUUUAGUGGGAGACACAGGGCCCUGACUACCUCACAAAGCAGCAGUCCUAUAAGAGGACAGAGUUUCUGUUUUUCUCCCUGGCCUAAGACUUGUACUGGUCUUUUAGCUUGAAUUCAUGGGGCAAGAUGGCGGUGGUAAAAAGAUAAAGGCGUUUUUACCCAGGUAGACAGUUUCUUUUUCUGGAGACAAGAAUUGAGAAGGUCUACCAGAUUCUGGCAGCGAGGAGACUGUUUUCAGCACUGUGAAUUUUUGCCAUCCUAUGUAUUUUAGUAGGGAGCUGAGCAAUGCUGUUUUAGGGUUUCCAUUCAGAUUUUCCAUUUCAAAUUGGGCAUCUAUUUGCACCUUUAAUUUGGGUAACAAGCAUUUCACAGAGAAUACAAAGUUGAACUAUGAGCAGCUUAAUUCAUCCGCUCAAAGGCAGACAAGAGGCUGCAGGUCCAAGUUAUGCCUAUACUAUACAAUAGAGAGUAUUUUAAGUGUUUUGUCAUUGCUUCCAAGUUCAUGCAAAUGCUUCUUACUAAUUUAUAUUGGCCACAUUCACUAUUCUUGUUUGAUAUACAUUAGUGAGUUUUCACUCUUUUAAAGAAAAGAAACCUCCAUGAUUAACUAAAACAUUUAAA